CCCGACUUACCAACCCGAUGCAAACUGCGAAUACCGGAGAAUGUUAUCACGGGAGACACACGGCGGGUGCUAACGUCCGUCGUGAAGAGGGAAACAACCCAGACCGCCAGCUAAGGUCCCAAAGUCAUGGUUAAGUGGGAAACGAUGUGGGAAGGCCCAGACAGCCAGGAUGUUGGCUUAGAAGCAGCCAUCAUUUAAAGAAAGCGUAAUAGCUCACUGGUCGAGUCGGCCUGCGCGGAAGAUGUAACGGGGCUAAACCAUG
This 262-nucleotide ribosomal RNA is filed under the name Escherichia coli. RNAcentral describes it as "partial 23S ribosomal RNA". It matches the Rfam family "Bacterial large subunit ribosomal RNA", at positions 930 to 1191 of the family's 2925-position model. Lineage: Bacteria; Pseudomonadati; Pseudomonadota; Gammaproteobacteria; Enterobacterales; Enterobacteriaceae. The record is from RNAcentral.